AUGGAGGACAGAGCGCCGCUUCUGCCCCGGCGCCAAGAGGCGGCGGCGGCGGCCAAGAGCGGCGGGUGGCGCUGCGGGGCGGCGGCGGCGGAGGCCAGGAAGGUCGCGCACGUGGCGCUGCCGAUGGCGGCCGUGAGCGUGGCGCAGUACGCCGUGCAGGUGGCCUCCAACAUGAUGGUCGGACACCUCCCCGGGGGCGUGCUGGCGCUCUCCGCCUCCGCCAUCGCCACCUCCCUCGCCUCCGUCUCCGGAUUCAGCCUCCUCAUUGGAAUGUCAAACGGCUUAGAAACUCUGUGUGGUCAAGCUUACGGGGCCGAACAGUACGGCAGAUUGGGAGUGCAAACCUACAGAGCUAUGGUCACCCUGACGGCUGUCAGCAUUCCAAUCUCACUUCUCUGGGUAUUCAUGGGAAAACUCCUGACCCUCAUAGGCCAGGACCCCAUGAUCUCGCAUGAAGCCGGAAGAUACAUAAUGUGGUUGAUUCCGGCCCUCUUCGCAUAUGCUGUCAGCCAGCCCUUAACAAAGUUCUUACAGUCUCAGAGUCUGAUAAUCCCUAUGCUUUGGUCCUCCAUUGCGACGUUGCUCUUGCACAUUCCUGUUUGCUGGUUAUUAGUGUUCAAGACCAGCCUUGGGUACAUUGGAGCCGCUUUGGCGAUAAGCGUAUCAUACUGGUUGAACGUGUUCAUGCUUGUCGCAUACAUCGGAUGCUCAAACUCUUGUAAGGAGACAUUCUCGCGUCCUACACUCGAUGCUUUCAGUGGAGUGGGUGUGUUCAUGCGCCUAGCUCUGCCGUCUGCAUUAAUGUUAUGUUUUGAGUGGUGGUCAUUUGAGGUCAUUAUUCUUCUGUCUGGACUUCUACCCAAUCCAGAGUUGCAAACUUCAGUUCUAUCUACAUGCAUGACAACAAUCACAUUGAUGUAUACUAUAGCAUAUGGGAUUGGUGCUGCUGGAAGCACUCGUGUAUCAAAUGAAUUAGGUGCCGGGAAUCCUGAAGGUGCUCGACUGGCUGUCCGCGUUGUGAUGUCUAUUGCUGUGACUGAGGCAGUUCUCAUCACUGGGGCACUGUUAGCAUCCCAGCACAUCUUGGGAUAUGCAUACAGCAGUGAUAAGGAGGUUGUUGAUUAUGUCAAUGCAAUGGUUCCCUUCAUCUGCAUCUCAGUUGCUGCUGAUAGCCUACAAGGAGUUCUCUCAGGUAUUGCUCGAGGGUGCGGGUCGCAGCACCUGGGCGCCUAUGUGAACCUCGGUUCGUUCUAUCUGUUUGGGAUUCCGAUGUCCCUCCUUCUUGGGUUUGUUCUGAAGAUGGGAGGGAAAGGGCUUUGGAUGGGCAUUUCCUGCGGCUCCAUAAUGCAAUUCCUACUUCUGUCCGGCAUAGUGUUCUUCAGCAACUGGCAAAAGAUGUCUGACAAUGCGAGGGAGAGCGUUUUCGGCGGAACCCUGGCAGAGAAGGAGCCUUUGAUGUCUGAUGUAACGGGCGCUGCCUAA
This 1482-nucleotide ribosomal RNA is filed under the name Triticum aestivum (bread wheat). RNAcentral's name for it is "partial small subunit ribosomal RNA". Lineage: Eukaryota; Viridiplantae; Streptophyta; Magnoliopsida; Poales; Poaceae. The record is from RNAcentral.